This 2484-nucleotide long non-coding RNA is filed under the name Nicotiana benthamiana. RNAcentral describes it as "long non-coding RNA (NBEN_LNC010356)". Lineage: Eukaryota; Viridiplantae; Streptophyta; Magnoliopsida; Solanales; Solanaceae. The record is from RNAcentral.
AUACAUUUUCGAAUUUGCCGUAUGGCAGAAAACAACAUACAAGGCUAAGGAAGAGGAGUUGUUUUCAAGAGUUAAAUAAAUGGACUGUUAAUUAAGAACGCAAGAGACUGAUUACUUACACUAUGUAAACUCAGACACACAUUAAAAUAGGCUAGAUGUGAAGCAAUACUGAAAUUAUAGAAUACCCUACAGCAGUACUGAUCUUACACUAAUUAGCAUACAUAAGUUCUUAACUUUAGCAUCUUACAUAUUGAACCUAGUGGAUGCAUUGCAGUUAAUUACACAACUUCACUCAUAUGGAAACUAACAUAUAAAUUCGCAGGGACAAGAAAAGAAAACUAUGGCUAAUAUCUUCGAGCUUUAAAGCUCUUUCAUUUCAUGCUUUAAUCGUUCGGCUACAUCGUGACCAAGAGAGAUUGUGUACCUGGUAACUAUGAAAAGAAAAAUGAGAGAAGGCUGUAUCAGUUAAAGAAUAGCAGGCAAGUACAAUAAUGUACAGCUUCAGCAAAACACAGAAGGAAUCCAACAGCAAUGACAGUAGGCCCUGUAAUAGAAGAAGAAAAACCAACAGAAGGAAGUGAAGUAUAGAUUCAGAUGCUUGAAAACCAGUAUCAAAUCAGCAACAACAAAAUAAACACCAGAAAUCCAGAACCAAAGACAACUGAGCAAUCACACUGAAGCCCCAUAAUCACUCAAGAAAUAACCUCACAGUCAAAGUGUGGCCAACAGAUACAUAGCCUAAACACUCUAUUCUUUUAGAAGAUUCUGUAGAUAAAACUUCAGCCUUAAUUUCACUCUAUUUUCAAAAAAUGUUCAAUAAAAAUCUCAAGUUCUUUCAAAGACUUUCUUUUAGUUUUCUUCCCUCAAAAAUUUGAUCCCUUAAACUUGGCCAAAUGACCUUUAUGUAUUCAAAAACCAGACCCUCUCCCUUUAUCCUUUAGUAAUUACAACAAACCUUUUAUCAUUACCCUUCCCAUUACCCCUUUAAUUAUUAUUACAACACAUUUAUUAUUACUCUUCAACUUAACAUAUACUUUAAUAACCAAGCCCCCAAAAUAUGCCCUUCUAUGCCCCUUUUAUCAUUAUAUACACUAUUCCUAAUUCAAAUAACCAAAAAGUAGUCAACAGAAACCCCACAGUCCCACUUAAAUUAUUCCUUGCUCCCCAUUACUCAUUAGUUCUAUGUCAAUUAAUAUCCCAAUAACAAUACACAAUUAUUAAAAUAUUAUCCUAAGUGUUUCAUUCCCAAAUUAACCUUGGAAUUCAUGAAAUCCCUUUACUAUCCUAAACCAUAAUACAGAUUCAAAAAUCUGUUCAAACAUAAAAAAUGAUCUAAAACGAAAGUUUAACUAUCAGCUAUAACCAACCCUUAUACUAAUUUGAACACAAUUAGAAAAACUGAAGCAUCAGAAAUAUCUACUUUUAAUCAUGAAAAAUCAUUCAUUACUGGAAAAUCAUGACCUGAACUGAUCAGCUCUGUUCAUUAAUUCAAAUAAUUUACAGGCUCAACUAUUUGCACACUGAGAAUAGAAAUGGAAUAGGCUAACAAUGCCAUUGACACUUUAAACAAAAGCAAACAUUAACCAGUUUUUCAUUUCGACUUUUAAGACUAAUUAAUACUUAAUAGAUUAAUUACGCAUAAUAGGGAUAAUCAGUAAGCAGAAUCAAAUAUACAAACAAUUACAUGUGUAAUUUCAGAGACAUUUGGCAUAAACAGUGAGUUUUAAUACAAUUCGACUAAUUGAUGAAAUUAGUGGAAUCGAUUACCCAAUCUAUACUUACACACUUAACCAACGUACAAAAAACUAAUUCGACCAAAUAAAAGGUCGUUUGGAGAUGGACAGAAAAAUGAAGGAAAAUUGAAAAAAAUAUUCAAACUAAAUUAAAAUAACAAGCAGAUGCCAAUAGCACACAAACAGAAAAGGAAGAAAUGUAAAAUACUCUAAAAGAAAUAAGAAAUUAAAUAUUAGGCAGGCUUGACCAAUCUCGGAUUCGAACCUCUUUUGAGAUCAAACGGACUUUAAUCAAGUGUUUUCGGUUGAGAACACUUGACUAAUGUCAGUUGAAACCUCAAAUUCUUCUUAAUUUGAGACGAAACCCCACUUUUUUUAGGGAUCUAGGGUUCAAAUUUGAGUCUUGAACAUUUAUGGGCAGAUUCAAUCCAAACCAAUGGUAUUUGGGGUAAGAGGGAGGUCAGGAGGUGUUGUGGUAUGAAUUUUAGCUUGGUUGGGGUAAGUUAUAGUUUGGCUCGAAUCUUCAAAUGAAGAUUUGAAGAGUUUCAAGCUGAUUCGAGCCAAACGGGUUAGGGAUUUGGGUUGAGGGUGGGCUUCUGGUAUUAGGGUGUUAAUUUGUGGUUCAUCAGAGCUCAGGCCGCCAGGUUUCAACCAUAGAAAAGCUAUGGAAAUUAGGGUUCAAACCCUAAUCUUUGUCUCUGAAUGACAGAGGCGAUUGAGGAUGAAGGGGGUGGCUUUUGAGGGGGGAAGG